This 954-nucleotide ribosomal RNA is filed under the name Parengyodontium album. Its description in RNAcentral is "SSU rRNA". It matches the Rfam family "Eukaryotic small subunit ribosomal RNA", at positions 106 to 1070 of the family's 1831-position model. Lineage: Eukaryota; Fungi; Ascomycota; Sordariomycetes; Hypocreales; Cordycipitaceae. The record is from RNAcentral.
UAAGUUAUCGUUUAUUUGAUAGUACCUUACUACUUGGAUAACCGUGGGAAUUCUAGAGCUAAUACAUGCUAAAAAUCCCGACUUCGGAAGGGAUGUAUUUAUUAGAUUAAAAACCAAUGCCCUCUGGGCUCUUUGGUGAUUCAUGAUAACUUCUCGAAUCGCACGGCCUUGCGCCGGCGAUGGUUCAUUCAAAUUUCUUCCCUAUCAACUUUCGAUGUUUGGGUAUUGGCCAAACAUGGUUGCAACGGGUAACGGAGGGUUAGGGCUCGACCCCGGAGAAGGAGCCUGAGAAACGGCUACUACAUCCAAGGAAGGCAGCAGGCGCGCAAAUUACCCAAUCCCGACACGGGGAGGUAGUGACAAUAAAUACUGAUACAGGGCUCUUUUGGGUCUUGUAAUUGGAAUGAGUACAAUUUAAAUCCCUUAACGAGGAACAAUUGGAGGGCAAGUCUGGUGCCAGCAGCCGCGGUAAUUCCAGCUCCAAUAGCGUAUAUUAAAGUUGUUGUGGUUAAAAAGCUCGUAGUUGAACCUUGGGCCUGGCUGGCCGGUCCGCCUCACCGCGUGUACUGGUCCGGCCGGGCCUUUCCCUCUGUGGAACCUCAUGCCCUUCACUGGGUGUGACGGGGAAACAGGACUUUUACUUUGAAAAAAUUAGAGUGCUCCAGGCAGGCCUAUGCUCGAAUACAUUAGCAUGGAAUAAUGAAAUAGGACGUGUGGUUCUAUUUUGUUGGUUUCUAGGACCGCCGUAAUGAUUAAUAGGGACAGUCGGGGGCAUCAGUAUUCAAUUGUCAGAGGUGAAAUUCUUGGAUUUAUUGAAGACUAACUACUGCGAAAGCAUUUGCCAAGGAUGUUUUCAUUAAUCAGGAACGAAAGUUAGGGGAUCGAAGACGAUCAGAUACCGUCGUAGUCUUACCCAUAAACUAUGCCGAUUAGGGAUCGGACGAUGUUAUUUUU